Molecule: non-coding RNA, 84 nt
Filed under: Xenorhabdus doucetiae
Lineage: Bacteria; Pseudomonadati; Pseudomonadota; Gammaproteobacteria; Enterobacterales; Morganellaceae
Source: RNAcentral
UUCAAUGGUGAUUCAGGCGGGGGAGACUCACGUCUCGCCGGAAGUUGAUCCCGGUCUGCUAACCCUGCUUGAAUCACCACCAUC